RNAcentral lists this ribosomal RNA (478 nucleotides) under uncultured bacterium. RNAcentral describes it as "partial 16S ribosomal RNA". It matches the Rfam family "Bacterial small subunit ribosomal RNA", at positions 28 to 523 of the family's 1533-position model. The record is from RNAcentral.
GACGAACGCUGGCGGCGUGCUUAACACAUGCAAGUCGAACGGUAAGGCCCUUCGGGGUACACGAGUGGCGAACGGGUGAGUAACACGUGGGUGAUCUGCCCUGCACUUCGGGAUAAGCCUGGGAAACUGGGUCUAAUACCGGAUAGGACUCCUGGCUUCAUGGUUGGGGGUGGAAAGCUUUUGCGGUGUGGGAUGGGCCCGCGGCCUAUCAGCUUGUUGGUGGGGUAAUGGCCUACCAAGGCGACGACGGGUAGCCGGCCUGAGAGGGUGGCCGGUCACACUGGGACUGAGAUACGGCCCAGACGCCUACGGGAGGCAGCAGUGGGGAAUAUUGCACAAUGGGCGCAAGCCUGAUGCAGCGACGCCGCGUGAGGGAUGACGGCCUUCGGGUUGUAAACCUCUUUCAGCUAUGACGAAGCGCAAGUGACGGUAGUAGCAGAAGAAGGACCGGCCAACUACGUGCCAGCAGCCGCCGUAA